This 1365-nucleotide non-coding RNA is filed under the name Pongo abelii (Sumatran orangutan). The record is from RNAcentral. Lineage: Eukaryota; Metazoa; Chordata; Mammalia; Primates; Hominidae.
UUACAGGAACCUUGAUAAUGAAGAUGUCCACCCUGGUCAAGAACAGAGGAAAGACCUAAAGUGAGGUCAGCUAAAAACAAGAAAGAAAUUUAAAGCAUCCUGGGAAGUCAUCAUAUCCUUUUUCUCCAAGAAAAUCUAGUUUUGCUUGUUUUUGUGUAUCCCACAACACCUAUGUUUGACUAUGUUUUUCACUUUGGAUUUGGAUUUUGGUGUGAUAUACACAGUUCCAAAAAAUCAAUGGAUAGAAAACUCAGUGGCAUAAAUAAGUGCUUAAAACAAUACUUCAAGAAAUGUUCAAUAUUCCAUGAGAACAAUAUCCACGUGAGAUGAAAAGUCUAAGUUAGUUCCUGAUUUCUGGAAGCUGGGAAAGUCUCAUUCCAGUAACUGCUUAAUAUCCCCUGUCAGUCUUCUUCAAAGGCUGAAGCCAGCCUCUGACUGAAGCGCAGCCUCAAUGUUUCCUGUCUGGUGCCAGCACAGCUUGCCUGGACUUCUGAAAAUUGCAAGCCCUUGCUCCUUGCUAGUCACCACACUCUCCCUUUCUUAGCUGCAGACUCCCUCUUGCUGUGGUUUACCAGGUGCCCUUAUUGCCCCUCAUGCUUGUGUGCCACUUUGGACUUAAUCUGGCACACUUAACUCCCUUCAUCCACGCCUGAAGCUGGACAAGCUGAAGUGACUGCGUAACUUUCUCAAUUCUGGCUCCUGCCCACCAACCUUGCUCUGCUAGGAGGAAUUAGCUCUGCCAGGAGGAAUUAGCUCUGCCUGGCCAGAACCCAAGAAGUGACAAAUGAAACUCACUCAAUAGGUGGUAAUUAAACUUCUGGCUCUAAAGCCCAGAAUAGGUUGUCAAUGGGAUUUCACAGUGGCUCCCUGACACUAAGCAAGGAUGUAGUUCUACAUCUAGUUUUAAAUCUUAAACUCUAACAGGAUUCUCAGAAAAGACAGUAAAGACUAAGGCCAAAAAAAGUUGUUUUAAGGGGAAAAUGACAGUAAGUACAAAAGAUAAUCUGGGGAAGACCUGGCAUUUCUGAAAUCAAAACAUCUGUUACUAAGUGGAUCAUGACUGCUUAGUUUCUAGUCUAGAAUCUUUAAGUAAGCCAUUCAGAAGAUGUGAUACUAUAGAAUUAUACCAACUGAGGAAUAGAGUGGAGAGGAAGGGCUGAAGAUGACUUCAGAAAAAGGCCUGAAGCGUGAAAAAUGUUGAUCUCACUCACUGAUCUAUGCUUUGUUUCUUUUAAGAAUGUAUUAAUAUAAAUAUCCUUUUCUUCCCACAUCCAAUCCCUAUUACUACACCAAAUACUUGUUCCUUUAGGAAAUGUGAAGUUGAAAAAAAUUUCCCCCAUUAAAUGAGAAUUAUUCUGCUUAUGA